This 74-nucleotide unclassified non-coding RNA is filed under the name Macacine alphaherpesvirus 1. The record is from RNAcentral. Lineage: Duplodnaviria; Heunggongvirae; Peploviricota; Herviviricetes; Herpesvirales; Orthoherpesviridae.
CCCUCCGCCGCUCUCUCACGGACUCCCCUAUCGCGGUGUCGGAAGAGGAGGGGUCUGGGAGAGAAGGGCGGGGG